This 495-nucleotide ribosomal RNA is filed under the name uncultured bacterium. Its description in RNAcentral is "partial 16S ribosomal RNA". It matches the Rfam family "Bacterial small subunit ribosomal RNA", at positions 28 to 507 of the family's 1533-position model. The record is from RNAcentral.
GACGAACGCUGGCGGCGUGCCUAAUACAUGCAAGUAGAACGCUGAAGGAGGAGCUUGCUUCUCUGGAUGAGUUGCGAACGGGUGAGUAACGCGUAGGUAACCUGCCUGGUAGCGGGGGAUAACUAUUGGAAACGAUAGCUAAUACCGCAUAAGAGUAGAUGUCGCAUGACAUUUGCUUAAAAGGUGCAAUUGCAUCACUACCAGAUGGACCUGCGUUGUACUAGCUAGUUGGUGAGGUAACGGCUCACCAAGGCAACGAUACAUAGCCGACCUGAGAGGGUGAUCGGCCACACUGGGACUGAGAAACGGCCCAGACUCCUACGGGAGGCAGCAGUAGGGAAUCUUCGGCAAUAGACGGAAGUCUGACCGAGCAACGCCGCGUGAGUGAAGAAGGUUUUCGGAUCGUAAAGCUCUGUUGUAAGAGAAGAACGAGUGUGAGAGUGGAAAGUUCACACUGUGACGGUAUCUUACCAGAAAGGGACGGCUAACUACGUG